GUUAUAAUAGUCUGGCUGCCAAAGACAGCAGGAGGCUUCCGCCGUAAUGGGACAACCCAUCCUGCCGAGGUUCGCGGAAUGAAUUGUCAUUUUGUGUCCUCAUGUCUUUUGGCAUGAGGACACUUUAUUUUAUCGG
Firmicutes bacterium CAG:170 is the source of this 136-nucleotide regulatory RNA element. It matches the Rfam family "Ribosomal protein L10 leader". From Rfam's summary of the family: This family is a putative r-protein leader autoregulatory structure found in B. subtilis and other low-GC Gram-positive bacteria. It is located in the 5' untranslated regions of mRNAs encoding ribosomal proteins L10 and L12 (rplJ-rplL). The record is from Rfam. NCBI's taxonomy places the organism in Bacteria, Bacillati, Bacillota.